AUAUUGGAAAUGGACAAUCUCAACUCCUAUAGCACGUGUAGGUAAAAUAGAAUCUCUUUAAAGGACACUACUAAAUAUAAACCAAAAAAAAAAAACAUUCUGCUAAAUGAUUUAUGCAACAUCAAUGCAUUUCUAUGCAGAAACUAUCAUUGGUAGCCAGACAUGAACAAAGAAACUCUGUUUCACCUCUCUUCUUCUUUUUUUUUUUUUCCACAUGCAAGACAACUAGGGAUAUUAAAUGUUUUUUCAAUGAGUUUAUUAGCACCUGGUAUGUCAUAUUGCGUGAAACAGGUGCCCAUUCUUCAGCAAUUCGCCUUUCUAGAGCUUCAGGAUCAGCAGUUGGUGGAAUUCGAAUAUCAAAACCUGCUUCUGCUUCAGAUGGCUGCAAAUUCAUGACAAAUCCCUGGAAGCCAACCAAAAGCAAUAAAUCACUAGGAUAAUGAUGGCUUGUGUAAGAAAGCAAAUAAAUUACAAAAUAUUGCAGAUCCAAAAAGUUGUUGCCAAGAAAAUAAUUUAAGGAUUUCAAUUCAGUAGUCCAACUGUUCAAUCAUUGUCAAUAAUUUUAAUCCCAAGUUUGAAAAUUUGUGAGGCCUUUAGGUUCUUGUUGAGCAUAGCUUGUUUCUAAUAUCCUAAGAUCACAUACAAUGUUUUCUUCAUCAAAUGUUUAAGGGUAUUUACCAGAAAUUUUCCAGAUGAUAAUUGUAGCAAAACGCAUGGAAGAACUUACAGUUGGAGAUGGAGUGCCAGCCUUAAGAAACACCAUGUUAACAGAAAUAACCUCUCCCUCCUCCUUCAAACCAGAUUUCACCAAAUCAAACUGAGAAGCCCGGAAUCUCCUCACACUCUCAAUGCUUUUCAAAAGAUUUUCCAUUGCACUAUUGUCAUAAAGCUUAGCUCCAUGGCCUGGCGCCCCGUUGGCCUUAAUCACCAGCCACCAUGGACUCCUCUCUGCAUAGAACGGCCGGUAAUUCUCAGUGGGCGAUGCUAAUCCUGUUUUCAAGAUACACCACAAUAACCAAUAAGCUUUAGCUCAAUACUACAGUUUGAACUUUGAAUCUCGAAGCAAACCAAUAAAAGAAGUGGCAGAACAAUACAUCAUUUCAAUGAAACAAAUAAAGAGACUAAGUAAAUUAAAAUCAACCACCUUCAUCAAGCACUAUUCCCACAUUCAUGGUCUUGAAGAUAUCAGAAGCAGAAAACUUCUCAGCACCAUCAUGGCCGCCUAUUUCUUCAUCGGGGGCAAAAGAGAGGUAAAUGGACCGAAUCGGCUGGUACCCAGAAGACUUCAAGCGGCGGACAGCUUCCAGAUACUGCAUACCAACGCACUUCAUGUCCUGGGAGCCUCUAGCAUAGAUGUUACCAUGGGAAUCAAGGUGUGCGCCGAAGGCAGGGUAAGCCCACUUGUGCUGCUCGACGGGGACGACAUCAGUAUGAGAGUAAAGGAGGAUAGAAGGGAGGGUAGGGUUAGAGCCCGCCCACUUGAGGAGAACAAGUGGCUUGCCAUCGACGAACUCAAUGGAUUGAGAUUCAAGACCGAUGGAUUUGGCCUGGGAAAUGAGGAAAUCGGCUGCUUCUUGAUAUCGGGGGCUGGGUUGGGCGGUGUCAAUUUGGAGGUAUUGUUGGAAUCUUGAUAUGAUUGAUGAUGAUGAAUCUUCGGCUAGAGCUACUGCGGGAUUUGGAAGGUGUAAGCAAGUAUUGAGGAGGAGUACAAGGACGAAGAGGAAGAAAGAGUGGCUAGUGGAAGAGAAGGAAGUUGGGAGUGGACAGUCCAUUAGAAUUGAAUGUCUCAUACUUGCAAUCCAACAGGGCUAUGGUGGCGCAGGGAAAGUUAUUACCUUUUUGCAUAUCUGAGCUUAGAUGGGUCUAUCUUUUUAGGUUCUUCUUCCUCGUCAUUUGACAUUAGAGCUCUAAACCAUAUAUAUAUAUAUAUAUAUAGUUUAUAUGGUGAAUUAGUGGGCAAUUAAAUGCAUGAUCCCAAUUGAUUUAAAAGGUAGUCAGAAUUAGUUAUUUUUUUUUUUAAAUGAAAAUUAGAGAUGUGAAGAGUAAAAUUUGAAAUCUACUUAAUCUUUGGGAAUCAAUCAUAUGAACAUACCAUCUGAACAUACCACUUGGCUAAGCAUGCUAUGAGUUGAAAUCUUUGGGAAUCAAUCAGAUGAACAUACCAUCUGAACAUACCACUAGGCUAAGCAUGCUAUGAAUGAAAAAUGACUGGUAUUAUUAAAAAAUAAAACAAAUAACUAAAUAUAUUUUACAUAUAUCUUAAUUUAUAAAUUCAGAAUUUAGCAUUUAAUAUUGCCUGAUAAAUCAUUUUGCACAAUAAAAAUGGUACUAAUUGAUUAUUAUGGAAUUAGAUAUUAAUAUAUUUUUUAAAAUAAAAAAGAGUAAUUAAUAAAUUUUUUUAUAACACAGAAUUUUAGCUUAUUAUUAUUUGUAGCAUUACGAAGUUCAAAGAGCACAAAUCCAUACCCUGAACCAGUUCUGCCAGUGUCCUGUUUGGCCCACUUAUUUGUACAUCACUAGUACAUGCAUCUAAUCUGAAUCGUUAUUUUACAAAACUUCCAUAAAAUAUGGGCUUGAAGAUGGACAGUGAUCAGGAGCUAUCUUAUAACUCAUCUUUGGUCCCUUCAUUGCUGGCAUGCUCAGCAUAAGAUGCAUAAGCUUUAAUUAUUGACUCGUAGAUCUCUACGCCUUUCAGGUAUUCGGCUUUGUUCAGGAACUGCAAGAAUGUAGAACACAUGAUGGUUACACAACACAAUCACUGAAUGCAUAUUAAGCAAAAUUCUGAGCCCUUGUAAUAUGCAAAAUCAAUUAACACAGAGGGAGAGAGAUGCCUAUGAAUGGUAACAUGUGAAGAUUGACAGUAAGACAAGCCCAUCUGUCAUACAUUCUUAAAUUCACCAUAACAAUCAAGUGAAGAGCCAAUGUGAAAUUAUUGACCACCAGAGGUAUCGAAUGCGACUAUUUUAUUAAUCAUACCUCAUUAUGAUCAUGCAGAAGAACAGGUGUGUUUGCCAUGGGGGAGAAACCAAUUGCUGGUAGCCCACGGAACCGGAAGUGACGAGAAUCCGUGGCAGCUGGAAAGAUCUCUGGUUUACCAAGUUUUCCAUUAGCUUUUCUGACAGCUUCUUCAAGCAGAACCCACCAUGGGUUAGAAUUCGUCUUUGUAAUAAGAGGCCUCCCAAACUUGUCAUAAACAGUGGCUUUCGACUUAAACUGUCCAAGAUACAAAAAUAAUUAGAACAAUUUGUAAAGCAACCUAAACACGUAAAAAAGUUGUUCCUAGUUACAUGUAUCCGAUACCAUGUUCAAAAGCGAGCCUUGAAGAUAGGCAUAAUAUCUAUCUUUGAUCAGUAUCAUAACCAUUUGUUCAUAUAUACUGUACCUUCAGAUAACAGUGCUUUCUGAUAGACACCAACUUUAAACCAGAAAAUCAAGUUUACUAUCUUUCACAACUCUUCAAAUAUAUGCAUAAAAAUAUUUGCAAAAGAUUCAGAUGACCUUUGUGCUAUAGUAUAGGCUCUUUCUACUAGCCAUACUGAACUGAAAAAAGGGCAUUGAUAGAAUAGAAGUUAAAAAGUGUAUUUAUGCUUAGCGCGCCAUCUCAUGAAAAAUAAUGCUAAUAUAGACAUAACAUUCCCCUUUAGCUUCAUAAUGAAAAAUGAACGAACUUUUGCUCCUUUCAUUCUCUGUAAUCUUGGAAAUGGCCUACCUCACUCACAUAGCAUGUGUAGGACCAUAGGUAAAAUGGAACCUCUUUAAAGGUAAUUACUAAAUACAUAUAAGAAAAAAAAAACAAACUUCUGCUAAAUGAUUUAUGCAUAAACAUCAAUACAUUUCUAUGCAGAAACUAUCAUUGGUUUGCCAGACAUAAGCAAAGCAACUGCAUUUCUUUUUUUUUUUCCUGAUACAAGACAAUUAGGGACAUUAAAUGUUUUUAGUGAAUUUAUUAGAACCUCAUAUGUCAUAUUGCGUGAAACAGGUGCCCAUUCUUCAGCAAUUCGCCUUUCCAAAGCUUCAGGAUCAGCAGUUGGUGGAACUCGAAUAUCAAAACCUGCUUCUGCUUCAGAUGGCUGCAC
RNAcentral lists this long non-coding RNA (4076 nucleotides) under Manihot esculenta (cassava). Its description in RNAcentral is "long non-coding RNA (MESC_LNC001681)". The record is from RNAcentral. Lineage: Eukaryota; Viridiplantae; Streptophyta; Magnoliopsida; Malpighiales; Euphorbiaceae.